Molecule: ribosomal RNA, 255 nt
Filed under: uncultured bacterium
Lineage: Bacteria
Description: partial 16S ribosomal RNA
Rfam family: Bacterial small subunit ribosomal RNA
Source: RNAcentral
GACGUAGGGCGCGAGCGUUUGUCCGGAUUUAUUGGGCGUAAAGAGCUCGUAGGCGGCUUGUCGCGUCGUCCGUGAAAACCCACAGCUCAACUGUGGGCUUGCGGUCGAUACGGGCAGGCUAGAGUUCGGUAGGGGAGACUGGAAUUCCUGGUGUAGCGGUGAAAUGCGCAGAUAUCAGGAGGAACACCGGUGGCGAAGGCGGGUCUCUGGGGUAGUAACUGACGCUGAGGAACGAAAGCGUGGGUAGCGAACAGG